This 282-nucleotide long non-coding RNA is filed under the name Pan troglodytes (chimpanzee). Its description in RNAcentral is "long non-coding RNA NONPTRT003565". The record is from RNAcentral. Lineage: Eukaryota; Metazoa; Chordata; Mammalia; Primates; Hominidae.
GAAUUUGAAUACAUCUGGCAAGACAACUUCAAGUACAGAUGGACCCAAAUUCCCUGGAGAUAAAAGUUCAACAACACAAAAUAAUAACCAGCAGAAAAAAGGGAUCCAGGUGUUACCUGAUGGUCGGGUUACUAACAUUCCUCAAGGGAUGGUGACGGACCAAUUUGGAAUGAUUGGCCUGUUAACAUUUAUCAGGGCAGCAGAGACAGACCCAGGAAUGGUACAUCUUGCAUUAGGAAGUGACUUAACAACAUUAGGCCUCAAUCUGAACUCUCCUGAGUA